Molecule: ribosomal RNA, 253 nt
Filed under: uncultured bacterium
Lineage: Bacteria
Description: partial 16S ribosomal RNA
Rfam family: Bacterial small subunit ribosomal RNA
Source: RNAcentral
UACGAAGGGGACUAGCGUUGUUCGGAAUCACUGGGCGUAAAGCGCACGUAGGCGGAUUAGUUAGUCAGGGAUGAAAUCCCGGGGCUCAACCUCGGAACUGUCUUUGAUACUGCAGAUCUCGAGUCCGGAAGAGGUGAGUGGAAUUCCUAGUGUAGAGGUGAAAUUCGUAGAUAUUAGGAAGAACACCAGUGGCGAAGGCGGCUCACUGGUCCGGUACUGACGAUGAGGUGCGAAAGCGUGGGGAGCAAACAGG